ACCGGCGGACGGGUGCGUAACGCGUAUGCAACCUACCUUCAACUGGGGAAUAGCCCGUGGAAACAUGGAUUAAUGCCCCAUAAAACAGGGGGCCCGCAUGGGUCUAUUUGUUAAAGAUUUAUUGGUUGGAGAUGGGCAUGCGUCUGAUUAGUUAGUUGGCGGGGUAACGGCCCACCAAGACGACGAUCAGUAGGGGUUCUGAGAGGAUGAUCCCCCACACUGGCACUGAGAUACGGGCCAGACUCCUACGGGAGGCAGCAGUAGGGAAUAUUGGUCAAUGGGCGAAAGCCUGAACCAGCCAUGCCGCGUGCAGGAAGACGGCCUUCUGGGUUGUAAACUGCUUUUAUCAAGGAAGAAAAAGGCCCUGCGGGGCAAAUUGACUGUAUUUGAUGAAUAAGCACCGGCUAACUACGUGCCAGCAGCCGCGGUAAUACGUAGGGUGCAAGCGUUGUCCGGAUUUAUUGGGUUUAAAGGGUGCGUAGGCGGCCUUAUAAGUCAGUGGUGAAAUCCUGCAGCUCAACUGUAGAUGUGCCAUUGAUACUGUAAGGCUUGAGUACAGACGAGGUAGGCGGAAUUUAUGGUGUAGCGGUGAAAUGCAUAGAUACCAUAAAGAACACCGAUAGAGAAGUCAGCUUACUAGGCUGUAACUGACGCUGAGGCACGAAAGCGUGGGGAUCGAACAGGAUUAGAUACCCUGGUAGUCCACGCCGUAAACGAUGUUCACUCGCUGUUGGCGAUACACAGUCAGCGGCCAAGCGAAAGCGUAA
This 767-nucleotide ribosomal RNA is filed under the name uncultured bacterium. RNAcentral describes it as "bacterial SSU rRNA". It matches the Rfam family "Bacterial small subunit ribosomal RNA", at positions 94 to 862 of the family's 1533-position model. The record is from RNAcentral.